CUACAGGCUCCAGAGGCCCUGAGCGCGCCCCCUACGAGGCUUGUUCUCUGGCGUCUCUGAUUGGCCAGCUCCCUUCGCGCAGACUAGCGUCCUUUCGGCUGCUGGGGCGAGAUCACUGGGAAAGGAGCUGAUGCUGGUGGAAUCUUCAGGUGAUGAAGAUGGAGACUCCAGGUCUGAGUCGGCUGGAAAUAAAAAGAGACUCCCUGCAUUAGAGACCAUCCACAGGGCAUCCUUGGAAGCUGUGACCUGAAGGUGGACAAGCCACAGGAUGGAAGGAGCUGCAUCUCUAAGUCACCAGUGAAGAACAGUCACCCUCAAUGGGUUUGGAGAGAAGUCUUCUCUGAUAUCCACUUUUAAGUCCCGAUUAUAAUCCACUCGUUUCAUUCUCGCAGCACUCAGUGUGGUUUAGGGGAAAUUCUAGAUUCUCAUAUCUUGGUCAUGGAUGAUAAGGAAAGGGCCUUUCCAUAUAUGUGAGGCAAAGCAGAGCAGGGUGAGGGGGUAAGGCUCCUCAGGGUAAGGAAGGCCCUGCAGAAGAAUGGAGUGGUGUUGCGGAGGCAGGUAGCCGAGGGAGGGGAGCAGUGCCAUCAGGAUGGGUCCUCAGGGUCUGUCAGCAUCCACCAGAAUCUGGCAGAGCUAUUUAGAGAAACUGAUAGAAAGCUGUACCUACUGCAGUCACAAAGGAUCAGGCUCAGAAUCACGGAUAAACUGAGGAUUAAUGUCUCCAUUUAUUGAUAAGGAAAUUAAGUUUUAUGGAGAUUAGAAUGUUUGUACGUAAUACAGUGCUUAGUUCAUAGUAGAUGCACAAUAAAUAUUUGUUGAAUGAAGGGCCUAAGACUUUUAAUGCUUAUGCCUUCUAUAAGGGAUUGAGAAUUUACCCAUUCCGUGGUAUAUAGAGGGGUAUGGUACUGGUGCCCAGGACAGACACAUUGUGGUUGGGUGCAAUGUUUUAAAAAGUUUGAAUGUUAGUGUGCUUUCUGGUAUUCCCUAGGCCCUACCACUCCCUGUUGCCUUAUCACUCACCCAGUUCACACGAUGAUGUCAUCCGUCUGUCCCCCUGAGCUUCAGUUGUGUGGAAUUCCUUCCUACACUCUCCUGUUCACAAGUCACCUUUUAAAUAGAGCUUAUCCCUAACUCUGUUGUUUUGCCCUCUCCCUUCUCCUUCCUGCCAUUGCCUUCCCAUCCUCUCCCUCCUAUUAUCUAUCCACAUAUGUCCUCUCUAUUUUUUCUCAAGUUUUUUAACCUUGUCAGUGUCGCAAUCCAAUGUACACAUCAGGAUAGAUGCGGAGAGGGCUGAUGGCCACUCUGAGUUUAUUAUAACCAGCGUUUCAAUAUAUACAUAGCUUACAGCUGUUAAACAUACACAGGUGUUCUGGAUGAAGUAAUUAGUGAAUGCCAAGAAUUCUUCGUGAUUUCUCAAGGAGCCCUCCCUUGGCCUCUGUUUUGAUAUUAUCAUGUUAUUGCUGUGCUCCUAUACUUUUAUCUCGGAGCAGGCAAGGCCUCUUAGGCAAUGGUCCCUCCUGCUCCCGAUAUCGAUAUCGUUUCUCCAUCUGUGCCCCUGGGCGGCCGCCGCCUGGCUUAGGUUGCCCCCCCAGGGGUCUUACCAGUCAUUGGCUAACCGGCCUUCUCACCUCCGGGUCACAGUUUGUUGGCAAGCUUUUUCCAGUGAUUAUUAACCCUUCCUAUGUCAGGGGCGGCUACAAACCUUAUAAGCAUAAAUUCUUAGGCAGCUAUGCCUAAUAUGAUGAACUAGGAAACCUAAGCCAAGAACAGAGUUGUAUUCAGAUAUACCUUCUACAAGUUUCUAUUAUACAUAUUUAAAGAUACAUAAAUAUUAUUGUAUUGUGUAGUUAUUAGGCAGUUAGCAGUGCUUAUAAAUUAUAUUUAAUGUAACCUUUAUAAACAUUCCCAUUUUAUAGUUAUUCAGUUUUUACUAGCUGCUAACUACCUGGGCAUCUUGCAUGAGUCAUUUUAUUGUAUUGUUUUCUUAUCUACUGAACAAGGGGUUUAGAAGGCAUUGUCUUUAAGGAAAUUUACAGGUACAUAUGUAAGGCCCUGUGACUGUGUGAUUACUACCUGGACUGAUAAAACCUAAAGCAAGGGAAGUGGGGAGAAUGGUGUAGUGCAGAGGGGAAGCUGCCUGUUGCUAACUGCACAAAGUUCUCCUAGAAACCUCCUCUGUAAAAGGAGCUUAAGAACCUACAUCCCCAGGAGACCUCUGGGACCAGUUUUUCUGGAUCCCCUGAGACCAGAUAAUUGGAUAAAGCUGUACAUUCUCAUCCUGAUCCUUUCUGGUCACAGUCCAAAAUGUCCCUUUGUGGUCACAGUCCUCUCCACAGUCUGCUCAGUGCCACCUCCUCUGGCACCCCAGGUGCUGAGGAUCAUCCCCUUUGCCGUACACGCGUCCAUGUUACCUGUGGGGACUGUGUGGUGUGGGAAGGAAACUCCCUCCGCCUGCACCUCCUGUGUGCCCCAGGCCUUCAUGGAAUCCCAGGUCUCUCCAGAGAGUUGCUUUUUUGGGUGGUCUCUCCUGGAAUUCCUGCUGGGUUUUUAUAGUCAUUCCUCUCCCCAUUCCCCACAGACCUCCUCCCCCUCUUCCUUUCUGUUUUGCCACCAUACCAGAUGUUACUUUUACCACAGGGCCUUUUCCCUGUUUACAGAGAAAACCAAAGCCAUCAGGAGGAACUCCACCAACAUGGAAUCCAACGUAUUGAUUGUUACGUCUUGCGGAAAUAUGGGAGACAGCAAGUGUUCUUCCCCUUGGCAGCAAGAGUUGAAUCCAUUAACAGUACUCAGCUCCAAUCUGUAAACCUGUGCUCCUAAAGUCUGCCUGAUGGUGCCUCUACAGACUUACCAACACCAGUGGUCCAGCAUCUGCUCCUCAGAGGUUUGGGUCCUAGUUCUGGAAGUCUUUUCAAAGAAUCUUCUCUUUGUUCUCUCAACCCUAGAGGUGGUAGCUGCUUCCCACUGUUACUAUCUUUGUGAUACUUCAGGCCCCCUUUUGCCUUUUUUGUCCUUUAUAACUGAUUAACAACCAUUUACAUAAAAUUCUUUAUGGUGAAUUUCAGCAGACCGACACACCCUUAGACCUACCUGUGCCAUGUAUAUUGGACAUCUCAGGGUCUGUCACAGGCCAUCUACUCUUUUCGCUCUAUAGGAAAUCACAUUCAACAUAUGAUCUGACACCAUCCCUGCUCUCCAUAUCAGCUGCUCUUUCAGUGUUCCCAUUCUUCAUGAAGGAAUGUUCCGAUCACCUGCUUGCUCCAGUUAAAACCAUGGUAUUAUCCUUGACUGUGCCACCCUUCUCAUCCUCACAUCUAAGCUGUUGAUUCUACCUCCUAAUGAUCUCUUAAACCCAUCUAUUUCUAACUUCACUGCUACCCUCCUGCUCUAAUCAUAUAUCAUCUUUCCUGGCAUCACUGUGACUUUUUCUUGCCUCCAGUUCUGCCUCACUCAACCCAUUCACUCCACAGCUAAAUUGUGGAUGUGUGCUUCUGAACUAUCAAUGAAUGUAGCCAAAGAAACGUGUAAUAUAGAUCAAUGAUCCCAACACUAAGAAAACAAUGUUGAUCAAUAAAUAAUUGGUGAAUAAUGAAUGACAACAUAUAGCAAAGUAUUCAACAGGUUUUAUAAGCUGUGGGUUCAGUAAAUGUUUAUGAAACUUGUUCAGGGCCUUGAAAGAUGUGCAGUUCUUUGGAUUUUAAAGAAAAGGAGAGAAGAGAUUUCAGAUGAGAACAAAAAUACGUGACAUCAAACAAUAUUUGUGAUUGUUUUUUGGGGUGGGGGGCGUGUUACGGUGUGAAAGCUCCCAGCCUGGAUGGUUUUCAGAUUCAAGUGCUGAGGCCAGCGUGCAGCU
This 3853-nucleotide long non-coding RNA is filed under the name Equus caballus (horse). Its description in RNAcentral is "lncRNA (ENSECAG00000049663.1)". Lineage: Eukaryota; Metazoa; Chordata; Mammalia; Perissodactyla; Equidae. The record is from RNAcentral.